Molecule: non-coding RNA, 116 nt
Organism: Aedes aegypti (yellow fever mosquito)
Lineage: Eukaryota; Metazoa; Arthropoda; Insecta; Diptera; Culicidae
Source: Rfam
UGCCCAGAAACUACUAUCCUUACCUCCUCGUGGUACUGGCCGGGGUACGAGUAACCUUAGGGAAGAUCGGGUAACCAACCCCGGUGGGAGCUUUGGUCCAAUGCUGACAGGAAAGG